This 253-nucleotide ribosomal RNA is filed under the name uncultured bacterium. Its description in RNAcentral is "partial 16S ribosomal RNA". It matches the Rfam family "Bacterial small subunit ribosomal RNA", at positions 524 to 776 of the family's 1533-position model. The record is from RNAcentral.
UACAGAGGGGGCAAGCGUUGUUCGGAAUUACUGGGCGUAAAGGGCGCGUAGGCGGCCUUCUAAGUCGAACGUGAAAUCCCUGGGCUCAACCCAGGAACUGCGUCCGAUACUGGAAGGCUUGAAUCCGGGAGAGGGAUGCGGAAUUCCAGGUGCAGCGGUGAAAUGCGUAGAUAUCUGGAGGAACACCGGUGGCGAAGGCGGCAUCCUGGACCAAUUCUGACGCUGAGGAGCGAAAGCUAGGGUAGCAAACGGG